This 28-nucleotide non-coding RNA is filed under the name Mus musculus (house mouse). Lineage: Eukaryota; Metazoa; Chordata; Mammalia; Rodentia; Muridae. The record is from RNAcentral.
UACUCAGGCCCUGUUAGUGUGAACCAGG